GCCGACUUAGCUCAGCGGUAGAGCACACGCUUCACACGCGUGGGGUCAGAAGUUCGAAUCUUCUAGUCGGCACCA
RNAcentral lists this transfer RNA (75 nucleotides) under Leptolyngbya sp. 7M. RNAcentral describes it as "tRNA-Val". It matches the Rfam family "tRNA". From Rfam's summary of the family: Transfer RNA (tRNA) molecules are approximately 80 nucleotides in length. Their secondary structure includes four short double-helical elements and three loops (D, anti-codon, and T loops). The record is from RNAcentral. Lineage: Bacteria; Bacillati; Cyanobacteriota; Cyanophyceae; Leptolyngbyales; Leptolyngbyaceae.